RNAcentral lists this ribosomal RNA (253 nucleotides) under uncultured bacterium. Its description in RNAcentral is "partial 16S ribosomal RNA". It matches the Rfam family "Bacterial small subunit ribosomal RNA", at positions 524 to 776 of the family's 1533-position model. The record is from RNAcentral.
UACGAAGGGGGCUAGCGUUGUUCGGAAUCACUGGGCGUAAAGCGCAUGCAGGCGGAUUGUUAAGUCGGGGGUGAAAUCCCGAGGCUCAACCUCGGAACUGCCUUCGAUACUGGCAAUCUUGAGUCCGGGAGAGGUGAGUGGAACUGCGAGUGUAGAGGUGAAAUUCGUAGAUAUUCGCAAGAACACCGGUGGCGAAGGCGGCCAUCUGGACCGGCACUGACGCUGAGGCGCGAAAGCCAGGGGAGCAAACGGG